RNAcentral lists this long non-coding RNA (839 nucleotides) under Malus domestica (apple). RNAcentral's name for it is "long non-coding RNA (MDOM_LNC006674)". Lineage: Eukaryota; Viridiplantae; Streptophyta; Magnoliopsida; Rosales; Rosaceae. The record is from RNAcentral.
AAGUUGAGAAAGAUAUGUAUGCAAAAGAUGUUUUGUAUGCAUGAAUGAAAAAUGAGUUUAGAACUAGUUUGACAUAUUAUUUCUUCAUUUAAAAAGUAUGUUUGUCUUUUGUUUUUCAAUGGUUGAAAAAUGUAAAUCAAGAGUUGAAAAAGAUAUGCAUGUAAAAGUUGUUUUGUAUGCAUGAAUGAAGAAUAAGUCAUGAACAAAAUUUGGGGUUUUUUGUUCUUGUGGUUGGCACGGUUUUGGGGGUGGUUUUUGGGUUGUGUUUGUGUUUUAUUGUAAACCACUCACACAUCCUUUUUAAAGCUAGAAAAGAAGGUUCUUGUCACUUUUGUUUUUUGGGUUUGAAAAAUCACCAAGAAUAUACAAAUCUUGAAAAUGUGUUCAUGGUUUUGUUCUUGGUGUUCAUAGUUUGGUUUUGGGUGAAAAUGGUUUUAAUUGGUUUUCAUGCAUAGUUUUAUGGUUUUGGAUGAUGUUCUUACCAUCCAUAACCAUAUUAAAAACUUAUAAAACCCUAGACUUGACUAGGAGGAUUUCCAUCACCCAUCUCACCUAAGUUUUAAUGGCAAAACCAAGUGACAAGCAAAAUUUAAUUUUUUCUACAUAAUGUGGCUUUUAAUGCAUGUUGUGUAAGAGUGUGUAAGAAACCUCCCAUCCCCUUAAUGUGGCCGGCCUCCCUAGUGGAUUUAUCCACUUGUGGGGCUAUUUUGUAAUCUUUGAAAAGUUGAUAUUUACUUUGAAAUAUUUACGGUUUUACCCCUAACUUUUCAUAUUUGCAUUUAGGCCCCUACUAACUAGAAAGUUAAAAUAUUUGAUUUUAAUUUUGUUAGUUGUUUAAA